Molecule: ribosomal RNA, 253 nt
Filed under: uncultured bacterium
Lineage: Bacteria
Description: partial 16S ribosomal RNA
Rfam family: Bacterial small subunit ribosomal RNA
Source: RNAcentral
UACGUAGGGCGCAAGCGUUGUCCGGAAUUAUUGGGCGUAAAGAGCUCGUAGGCGGUUUGUCGCGUCUGCUGUGAAAACCUAAGGCUCAACCUUGGGCUUGCAGUGGGUACGGGCAGACUAGAGUGCGGUAGGGGUGACUGGAAUUCCUGGUGUAGCGGUGGAAUGCGUAGAUAUCUGGAGGAAUACCGGUGGCGAAGGCGGCAUCCUGGACCGGCAUUGACGCUGAGGAGCGAAAGCCAGGGGAGCAAACGGG